This is a non-coding RNA of Nelumbo nucifera (sacred lotus), 897 nucleotides long. NCBI's taxonomy places the organism in Eukaryota, Viridiplantae, Streptophyta, Magnoliopsida, Proteales, Nelumbonaceae. The record is from RefSeq and is a predicted model, not a curated record.
UCCAGUUGAACCACCCAUAAGAGGACAAAAAAAUAUUUAAAGGAUUUCAUUCGAAUUCCCUCACUCCCUCUCAUUUCCUUCACUUGUCCCAGUCCCAGCCCUAACCCAGAAAAUCAUCCCAUCGGCCACUCACAUACACCGGUGUUUAUAAACGUGGUCCAUUAGCGGCAGCAAGAAUUUCAAUGUUUGGGAACACCACGGCUGCAUUACCAAAGACGAAAUCAACAGCACCGGUGAUGUAACGGUCUCUGUAGAAUUGGCGGAGGGAAUGCGCAUAGAGAGUGGCCUAGUUUGUGUCGAUGCGGCAACGGUUUAUGACACACUGAUCUGCUCCAACUCUCAGCGCCACGGCUUGAUGCUUUUGCGGUCCUGCCGUGUUUUGGAACCAGAUGUCAGCUGCAAUUGGAAGAGAUACAUGUACCAAUGGACUGUGCAACAAAUCUGCCGAUGCUUAAGUGAACCCUGCUGCCAUCACUGUUCGUGAGUGGCAGCAGUCUGCUAUACAGUGAGGCGUAAUGGUUCUUCCAUCAGGUUGAGAAGAGAAUCAGGUUUGGAAGAAGGAGAGAGGAGGAAAUGGGAGGCAGUUCCAAUGAAAUCCCAGAAAUCCUUUUAACAUUAUUUUGUCCUUUUGUGGGUGAUUCAACCGGGUUUCUUCAGCUAACGGUUGAACACCCGUUAAUGUUACUAGAGAUUCAAGAACCCAACGUGUUGCAUUUUUAUUGGCGGGUUCACACAUCCAGUGCACCCAUGGGUGCACAGAAUGCGGACUCGCCUAUCACCAGUAGACAGCCAUGGGUUUUGGGUCCUUAGUCCUACCUGUCACAAUGCAAAAGAACACUAAUAACAGAGUAAUGGUGUUUUCUUAAUGAAUAAUAGAAUUUGCAAUAUUAACAGCUA